This 889-nucleotide ribosomal RNA is filed under the name Heterocapsa sp. FRo-2019a. RNAcentral describes it as "partial large subunit ribosomal RNA". It matches the Rfam family "Eukaryotic large subunit ribosomal RNA", at positions 72 to 857 of the family's 3401-position model. Lineage: Eukaryota; Dinophyceae; Peridiniales; Heterocapsaceae. The record is from RNAcentral.
GGAUUCCCUCAGUAAUGGCGAAUGAACAGGGAUAAGCUCAGCAUGGAAAUCGGGGCCUGUGGCCUUGAAUUGUAGUCUCGAGAUGUACCGCCAACGGAGGCGCAGAUGUAAGCCUCUUGGAAAAGAGCAUCAACGAGGGUGAGAGUCCCGUUUGUCAUCUGCAGUCCCCCGUGCACGGUGUACUUUCUAAAGAGUCACGUUCCUCGGGAUUGGAGCGCAAAGUGGGUGGUAAAUUUCAUCUAAAGCUAAAUAUAGGUUCGAGACCGAUAGCAAACAAGUACCAUGAGGGAAAGGUGAAAAGGACUUUGAAAAGAGAGUUAAAAGUGCCUGAAAUUGCUGAAAGGGAAGCGAAUGGAACCAGUGCUUCUUGGCAAGAUUGGUGCGUGCUAAUGUGAUUUCCUGCUGCUUCAGCGCAAGCGUUGCAGUGGGCUUUGAUCAGGACGCGCGUGUUGUUUCUUGCCUUGUGUGUCAACGUCAGUUCUCGAUCGAGGAAAACGCCAGGGACAUGGUAGCUUGCCCCCGGGUGGGUGAAUGUGCUUGGUUGAACUCAUUUGUGAACUGGUUCUUGCGUGUCUGGUUGCAGUGCCCUGCAUCCCUGUGACUCCAUGGGGAGCUCUCGCUCCUUUCAUGGUUGGAGCGGGUGAUCAGGACAUCUCCCUGACACAACGACGCUGACUAAAUGGUUCUAUUCGACCCGUCUUGAAACACGGACCAAGGAGUCUAACAUAUGUGCGAGUUCACGGGCGGGUAAACCUGCUUGCGCAAUGAAAGUGACUGCUGGGAUCUUUGCACCAGCAACCGACCAAUCAAUUGAGAGAGGUUUGAGUAUGAGCAUAUCUGUUAGGACCCGAAAGAUGGUGAACUAUGCGUGGUUAGGGCAAAGUCAGGG